AAAUUAGAUUAUUUUUUUUUGAUUCCAUAUUUGGUUUUUUGUAGAAAAAUAUUUGAACUGUUAUAAAUUAAGGAUUAUUCCUUCUCAUUUAGUAGCAUCCACAAUGUAGUCAUAUGAAAUUUAAGAAUCGUGUUUAGGAGGAAAAUUACGAGGCGGGUGUAAGCCUGCCACUUGUGUUUGCCUUUUUGUGAGGUUGUUCUCUCGUUAUUUUGUACCCUCUUUUAUAUAAUGGAUUGCUCAUCUCCAUUGUAGAUGUAGGUCAAUUGACCAA
RNAcentral lists this long non-coding RNA (271 nucleotides) under Nicotiana benthamiana. RNAcentral describes it as "long non-coding RNA (NBEN_LNC009853)". The record is from RNAcentral. Lineage: Eukaryota; Viridiplantae; Streptophyta; Magnoliopsida; Solanales; Solanaceae.